RNAcentral lists this ribosomal RNA (465 nucleotides) under uncultured bacterium. RNAcentral describes it as "bacterial SSU rRNA". It matches the Rfam family "Bacterial small subunit ribosomal RNA", at positions 338 to 795 of the family's 1533-position model. The record is from RNAcentral.
CCUACGGGAUGCAGCAGUGGGGAAUAUUGCACAAUGGGCGCAAGCCUGAUGCAGCCAUGCCGCGUGUAUGAAGAAGGCCUUCGGGUUGUAAAGUACUUUGAGCGGGGAGGAAGGCGAUAAGGUUAAUAACCUUGUCGAUAGACGUUACCCGCAGAAGAAGCACCGGCUAACUCCGUGCCAGCAGCCGCGGUAAUACGGAGGGUGCAAGCGUUAAUCGGAAUUACUGGGCGUAAAGCGCACGCAGGCGGUCUGUCAAGUCGGAUGUGAAAUCCCCGGGCUCAACCUGGGAACUUCAUUCGAAACUGGCAGGCUGGAGUCUUGUAGAGGGGGGUAGAAUUCCAGGUGUAGCGGUGAAAUGCGUAGAGAUCUGGAGGAAUACCGGUGGCGAAGGCGGCCCCCUGGACAAAAACUGAUGCUCAGGUGCGAAAGCGUGGGGAGCAAACAGGAUUAGAUACCCCAGUAGUA